GACGAACGCUGGCGGCGUGCUUAACACAUGCAAGUCGAACGGAAAGGCCCUGCUUUUGUGGGGUGCUCGAGUGGCGAACGGGUGAGUAACACGUGAGUAACCUGCCCUUGACUUUGGGAUAACUUCAGGAGACUGGGGCUAAUACCGGAUAGGAGCUCCUGCUGCAUGGUGGGGGUUGGAAAGUUUCGGCGGUUGGGGAUGGACUCGCGGCUUAUCAGCUUGUUGGUGAGGUAGUGGCUUACCAAGGCUUUGACGGGUAGCCGGCCUGAGAGGGUGACCGGCCAUAUUGGGACUGAGAUACGGCCCAGACUCCUACGGGAGGCAGCAGUGGGGAAUAUUGCACAAUGGGCGGAAGCCUGAUGCAGCAACGCCGCGUGCGGGAUGACGGCCUUCGGGUUGUAAACCGCUUUCGCCUGUGACGAAGCGUGAGUGACGGUAAUGGGUAAAGAAGCACCGGCUAACUACGUG
RNAcentral lists this ribosomal RNA (468 nucleotides) under uncultured bacterium. RNAcentral describes it as "partial 16S ribosomal RNA". It matches the Rfam family "Bacterial small subunit ribosomal RNA", at positions 28 to 507 of the family's 1533-position model. The record is from RNAcentral.